Molecule: long non-coding RNA, 650 nt
Organism: Pollicipes pollicipes
Lineage: Eukaryota; Metazoa; Arthropoda; Thecostraca; Pollicipedomorpha; Pollicipedidae
Exons: 2
Source: RefSeq, a predicted model, not a curated record
GGCCAACAUGGCCGGCCAGACCGAUAGCCAAGCCUACCAAUACGUCUCCAAAAUUGUCGAGAAGUUCAACAACGAGCGGAGUUCGUCAGCAGCAUCGCCAAGCCAAUAGAGUACCAUAACCCAACCCUGGUAUCAGUGCAUUAUUUAUGUUCGGCUGCCUAGUGUGAAUGUUUCCAGCCUCCGCAAUGCGCGAUGUAAAACAGGCCCGCUCCAUUAAAUCCUGAAGCGAUGAGGUUGUCGAGAAAUUAGGCCAAAGCGGGUACGAGACAGCUUUUAAUUUAAAAUUUCGUUGACUGUUUGCGUGGUGUGAAUGCUGCGCGCGGCGUCGUGGCGCGCAAGAGUCGGCGGUCGGCCGAGGUGUCGUUUGUAUUAUUUUAUAAGGGUGUUCGUGGGUGGCGCUGUGCGGUGGUGUUGCCGCGGGGCACCAGCCGGACCGCGCGCCCCUCCCCUCCCCCUGCCGUGGCGGCAUUUAGUAUACAGAGCAGCCGCCCCCGCCCGAUCCUCCGGCGGGGACGCGUGCUCAGGAGGCCUAGGUCCGCCCGGCAGGUCACAGUUUUGUACUCGGCACACUCAGCUCAAGCAAAUUGAACGUGUCUGAGAGCGAAGUCGUGCGUGAGCUGGCGCGGAGAGAAUACACUCCCGGAGGUGAC